UACGUAGGGUGCGAGCGUUAAUCGGAAUUACUGGGCGUAAAGCGUGCGCAGGCGGUUCGGUGUGUCCGUCGUGAAAGCCCCGGGCUUAACCUGGGAACUGCGAUGGAAACUAGCGAGCUGGAGUGUGGCAGAGGGGGGUGGAAUUCCGCGUGUAGCAGUGAAAUGCGUAGAGAUGCGGAGGAACACCGAUGGCGAAGGCAGCCCCCUGGGCUAACACUGACGCUCAGGCACGAAAGCGUGGGGAGCAAACAGG
RNAcentral lists this ribosomal RNA (253 nucleotides) under uncultured bacterium. RNAcentral describes it as "partial 16S ribosomal RNA". It matches the Rfam family "Bacterial small subunit ribosomal RNA", at positions 524 to 776 of the family's 1533-position model. The record is from RNAcentral.